UACGUAGGGGCCUAGCGUUGUCCGGAUUUAUUGGGCGUAAAGGGCGCGUAGGCGGCUUGGCAAGUGGAAGGUGAAAUCCCUCGGCUUAACCGAGGAACUGCCCUCCAAACUGCUUUGCUUGAGGCCGGGAGAGGUGAGUGGAAUUCCCAGUGUAGCGGUGAAAUGCGUAGAUAUUGGGAGGAACACCAGUGGCGAAGGCGGCUCACUGGACCGGUUCUGACGCUGAGGCGCGAAAGCGUGGGGAGCAAACGGGG
Molecule: ribosomal RNA, 254 nt
Filed under: uncultured bacterium
Lineage: Bacteria
Description: partial 16S ribosomal RNA
Rfam family: Bacterial small subunit ribosomal RNA
Source: RNAcentral